Long non-coding RNA from Triticum dicoccoides, 545 nucleotides. RefSeq lists it as uncharacterized. The transcript has 3 exons. The record is from RefSeq and is a predicted model, not a curated record. Lineage: Eukaryota; Viridiplantae; Streptophyta; Magnoliopsida; Poales; Poaceae.
UGCGGAGUAUUUCAGAGUUGGUGGCAUGCUGAACACUGCGGUUGCUUCUGUAGGAAUUUUUCUUCUUCAUUCGAGAUACCAAAAUUCUUCUAAGAUGGUGGCUCCAUUUCAUAUUUGGCAAUCUAUCUAGAAGGGGUCCUUUGAUAAUAGGCACUUGAUCAGAUUUUUCUCUGCCUAUGCCGAUGAGCCGCUGGAUAAGAAGGAUAUUGUACUCUUUGGUGUCUUUGACCCUCCAGCUACCAGGGAAGGUGCGGGGCACUAUUGCAUAGUUGCGCUAAACAUUAAGCAUAGUCGUUUUGAGCUGCUUGAUUCUUGGCACCUUCCCGGUAGUGAGAGUGGCAUAAGGGUCAUAAACAGGAUGGCGAAGAACAUUAAGCAGCUUUGGAGGAAUGGCUCGUCUGAGCGCAAGAAGAAGAAGUUGGAUCCGGCAAACAUUGACCAUUUCCGUUUGCACCAUGCCGUUGUGCCCCAGCAGGAAAACCCUACCGACUGUGGUUUUUUCAUGAAUGAACUGCUGGAGACAUAUGAUGGUGAGAGUUAUGCUG